This is a non-coding RNA of Labrus bergylta (ballan wrasse), 1181 nucleotides long. The record is from RefSeq and is a predicted model, not a curated record. NCBI's taxonomy places the organism in Eukaryota, Metazoa, Chordata, Actinopteri, Labriformes, Labridae.
AGACUGGCUUUGGUGGUGGAUCCUCGUGGCUGUGGUGGUUUUUAUAGUUCUGUUAGUGGUCGUUGUGAAAGUCAUCAGACAGAAAGGAAACAGAACGCAGAUGGGUGACGAUGUUGCUGAUCCUGAAGGCGGGGUUUCCUACGCCUCCAUCAGAUACAACAAGAAGGGGAAAAGAGGAGCUCGGGUUUGUGCUAAAGACGAUGCUGACGAUGGUUCAGUGAUCUAUGCCUCCGUCAAAGUUUCUUCUUCUUCUUCUACUGCUGCAGGAGCCUCUGCUGAUCCCAGCAUCCUCUACGCCACCAUCAACAAAGAGAAGAAAUAAGAAUCCAAAGUAAAGUCACAGCUCAAGUUUUUUCAGCAUUCUACACUGAAAACUACGGAGCCCCACAAGGCUCAGGUAGGACAAAAUAAAAAGCAAUUUGUAAAUCCUUUGUUCACAGUUUACAAAUCUGUGCGCACAGUUUAUAAACAGUGCCCAUGGAUUUGUAAACCGUGUGCACGGAUUUGCAAUCUGCAGGCUCACUUUCAGUUUAGGAAACCGUGCGCACUCUGUUUUGAAAUCUGUGUGCACCAUUUAGGAAUCUGUGCCCACAGAUUGUAAAUCAGUGUGCAUGGAUUUGCCGAAAUGAUCGACAGCUUUUUAUUUUUUGUCUCACCUGAGCUUUGCAGGGCUCAGUAGAAAACAGAUACUGAUAGAUGUGUUUGUAUAAGACUUUGUGUUGUUAACUUUCAAGAGUUAUUGCUUUAAGAUGCUUUUUUUCUCCAACAAAUGGCGAUGUAAGGUUAGCACAAACACCUAGCAUUAAACCUCUGCAUGAAAUUUAAAUUUACGGAGACUCUGAAGUCCCAAAAAGUACAAAAACUGAAAUCUUGUGUGAACAUGAUAAUUAUAUAAAGGACUGGUAUUCAGAAAAUCCUUUGACUACAUGCUAGUGUGUGUGAGCGCUGACUGUUUCUUCUCUUAAUCCUUGCACACAGGAUAUUCACUUGUGAGCACAACAUAGCAUCUUGUGCACAAGUUAGGCCGUGUUCACACUUGACUUCUGCGCUGCCUUCAGUGCCUUUUGAGCGCUUUUGCGCAAGUGUUCUGUAACCAUAACAACGGGAUCUAGUCUGCGGUGCAACCGUGCCGGAGCACAACGCAUCAAUUUAGCACAGAAAAGAACAAACAGGACGGGAAG